RNAcentral lists this ribosomal RNA (488 nucleotides) under uncultured bacterium. RNAcentral describes it as "bacterial SSU rRNA". It matches the Rfam family "Bacterial small subunit ribosomal RNA", at positions 30 to 507 of the family's 1533-position model. The record is from RNAcentral.
AUUGAACGCUGGCGGCAUGCUUUUACACAUGCAAGUCGAACGAGUUUUUCUAGCUUGCUAGAAAAGCUAGUGGCGAACGGGUGAGUAAUGCGUAGGGAUCUGCCUUGUUGAGGGGGAUAACCCGGGGGAAACUCGGGCUAAUACCGCAUAAGGUCGAGAGACGAAAGGAGGGGGACCUUCGGGCCUUCCGCGACGAGAGGAACCUACGUCCGAUUAGCUAGUUGGUAGGGUAAUAGCCUACCAAGCCGAUGACGGGUAGCCGGCCUGAGAGGGUGACCGGCCCGAGGGGCACUGAGAUACGGGUCCCACUCCUACGGGAGGCAGCAGGCUAGAAAUUUGGGCAAUGGGGGAAACCCUGACCCAGUGACGCCGCGUGCAGGAAGGAGCCCUUCGGGGUGUAAACUGCUGUCGUGUAGGGAGAAGGGUACUAAGGUGAACAAUCUUAGUACUUGACGGUACUACAGGAGGAAGCCCAGGCUAACCUCGUG